Pelmatolapia mariae (spotted tilapia) is the source of this 83-nucleotide non-coding RNA. The record is from the annotation of a RefSeq genome assembly. NCBI's taxonomy places the organism in Eukaryota, Metazoa, Chordata, Actinopteri, Cichliformes, Cichlidae.
ACCAGGAUGGCCGAGUGGUUAAGGUGUUGGUCUUAAGUUCUAAUGAGCGUAUGCUCUCGUGGGUUCAAACCCCACUCCUGGUA